Molecule: ribosomal RNA, 512 nt
Filed under: uncultured Stenotrophomonas sp.
Lineage: Bacteria; Pseudomonadati; Pseudomonadota; Gammaproteobacteria; Lysobacterales; Lysobacteraceae
Description: partial 16S ribosomal RNA
Source: RNAcentral
CACGAAGUUAGCCGGUGCUUAUUCUUUGGGUACCGUCAUCCCAACCGGGUAUUAGCCAGCUGGAUUUCUUUCCCAACAAAAGGGCUUUACAACCCGAAGGCCUUCUUCACCCACGCGGUAUUGGCUGGAUCAGGCUUGCGCCCAUUGUCCAAUAUUCCCCACUGCUGCCUCCCGUAGGAGUCUGGACCGUGUCUCAGUUCCAGUGUGGCUGAUCAUCCUCUCAGACCAGCUACGGAUCGUCGCCUUGGUGGGCCUUUACCCCGCCAACUAGCUAAUCCGACAUCGGCUCAUUCAAUCGCGCAAGGCCCGAAGGUCCCCUGCUUUCACCCGUAGGUCGUAUGCGGUAUUAGCGUAAGUUUCCCUACGUUACUCCCCCACGACAGAGUAGAUUCCGAUGUAUUCCUCACCCGUCCGCCACUCGCCACCCAGAGAGCAAGCUCUCCUGUGCUGCCGUUCGACUUGCAUGUGUUAGGCCUACCGCCAGCGUUCACUCUGAGCCAGGAUCAACUCUC